RNAcentral lists this ribosomal RNA (211 nucleotides) under uncultured bacterium. Its description in RNAcentral is "partial 16S ribosomal RNA". It matches the Rfam family "Bacterial small subunit ribosomal RNA", at positions 524 to 731 of the family's 1533-position model. The record is from RNAcentral.
UACGAGGGGGGGCGAGCGUUGUUCGGAAUUAUUGGGCGUAAAGGGUGCGUAGGCGGCCUGACAAGUCUGGUGUGAAAUCCCUGGGCUCAACCCAGGGCCUGCAUCGGAAACUGUCGGGCUUGAGUAUGGGAGAGGUGAGUGGAAUUUCCGGUGUAGCGGUGAAAAUGCGUAGAUAUCGGAAGGAACACCUGUGGCGAAAAGCGGCUCACUG